Choloepus hoffmanni (Hoffmann's two-fingered sloth) is the source of this 136-nucleotide non-coding RNA. Lineage: Eukaryota; Metazoa; Chordata; Mammalia; Pilosa; Megalonychidae. The record is from Rfam.
UAGAGUUAGGGCAAGACCUAAGAUGGUGGCGUUUGCGCAGCGUCCAAUUACUGCAUGAGUAGUGAGGUUGCUAAGACGGCCAAAAAGAUGGAUCUACUAACGAAAGCCCAGAAACUCGUCAAUUUUUGUGCUGUGA